AUGGCGACGCAGCUGCCAUGCUUCACGCAGCUCACCCCGCCGUCACCUGGAUGGAGAAACGAAGCGGGGAGCCUCGGGGCUACAUCUGGGAGGGCGUUGGUCAGAAGCGUUCCAUUUUCAGGUCACUCGCACAUCAGGUGUCGCGCAACCCCACGCAGCGCUAACUCGUUUCAGAAGAAAGACUCCUUCCUGGACCUUCACCCGGAGGUGUCCCUGCUCCGAGGCGAGCAGAACGACGAGGCUAUUAACCCAAGGAAAGCUUCUUCUGAUGGGAGCACUUUGGAGGGGCUGGGGGUGCCGCCGAGCCAGGACGAUUACAACGCUGCCAAGAUCAAGGUCGUUGGAGUCGGGGGUGGGGGUUCAAAUGCUGUCAACAGGAUGAUUGAGUACUCCAUGAAUGGUGUCGAGUUUUGGAUCGUCAACACCGAUGUCCAGGCAAUAAGGAUGUCCCCGGUGCAUUCCCAGAACAGGCUGCAGAUUGGGCAGGAGCUCACUCGGGGUUUGGGUGCGGGUGGGAACCCUGAUAUUGGGAUGAAUGCCGCCAAGGAGAGCUGUGAGUCCAUAGAGGAAGCUCUUCAUGGUGCUGACAUGGUUUUUGUCACGGCUGGAAUGGGUGGGGGAACUGGAACUGGAGGUGCCCCUGUAAUUGCUGGAAUUGCCAAGUCCAUGGGUAUACUAACAGUGGGUAUUGUCACAACGCCCUUUUCAUUUGAGGGGAGGAGGCGGGCAGUUCAGGCUCAAGAAGGAAUAUCAGCCUUGAGAAAUAGUGUGGACACUCUCAUUGUCAUCCCAAAUGACAAGCUGUUGUCUGCUGUUUCUCCAAAUACUCCUGUCACGGAAGCAUUCAACUUGGCUGAUGAUAUUCUUUGGCAAGGAAUUCGUGGUAUCUCUGAUAUCAUUACGGUUCCUGGGUUGGUUAAUGUUGAUUUUGCUGAUGUGCGAGCCAUAAUGCAAAAUGCAGGGUCAUCUUUGAUGGGUAUAGGGACUGCAACAGGCAAGUCAAGAGCAAGAGACGCCGCUCUUAAUGCCAUUCAGUCACCACUGCUAGAUAUUGGAAUUGAGAGGGCUACAGGCAUCGUGUGGAAUAUCACUGGAGGAAAUGAUUUGACUUUGUUUGAGGUAAAUGCUGCAGCCGAAGUAAUCUACGAUCUAGUUGAUCCAAAUGCUAACCUGAUAUUUGGUUCUGUCAUAGACCCAUCGCUCAAUGGCCAGGUUAGCAUAACGUUGAUCGCUACUGGCUUUAAACGGCAGGAUGAAGCAGAAGGUCGCACCGCAAAGGGUGGCCAGCAAAUGCAAGGAGACAAUGGUCGACAUCCAUCUUCCACAGGUGGCAGCAAGGUGGAGAUUCCUGAGUUCCUUCGGAGGAGAGGUCCUUCUCGCUUCCCGCGAAUUUGA
Molecule: ribosomal RNA, 1395 nt
Filed under: Triticum aestivum (bread wheat)
Lineage: Eukaryota; Viridiplantae; Streptophyta; Magnoliopsida; Poales; Poaceae
Description: partial small subunit ribosomal RNA
Source: RNAcentral